Molecule: RNA transcript, 3741 nt
Organism: Trifolium pratense (red clover)
Lineage: Eukaryota; Viridiplantae; Streptophyta; Magnoliopsida; Fabales; Fabaceae
Exons: 8
Source: RefSeq, a predicted model, not a curated record
CAAACUAUGAUACAUGUGAAGUUAUUAUCAUUCUACGCUCUCUCACCUUUCCAGAAAACAAAAACCGCUGAAGAAGGGAGAAAUAAGAAGAUUCACAGCAGAAGAAGAAUGCCUGGAAGGAAGAAGAAUGUAACAUAGGUUGAAGAAAUGGAGGCCAAAGAUCAACAGGUUUUGUUCUUUUUUCGUUCAUAGGAAAGUAAAAGAUCACUUUUUGUAGGUGUAUAGAACGCCCGGAAGGAAGAAGAAUGUAACAUAGUUUUAUGAAUGCACACCAUGUGCUUGACAAAAUGUUCUUUCCAGUUGCAGGUGAAAUUUUUUACUAUUAAUGAAAGGUUAACAGCAUAAUAUAGACUAUAAUUGACAGCAUACCGAUGAUGCUUCUUGCAGUAGAGAUAAUAGCAAAUAGUUCUACCAUAAGUUUAAGGAAUAACAUUAAAAUAUAGUUUGUCUUAAGUAUCCAAAAGGCAGCAUAGUUUAUUUGUGAACAUAUGUUAUAAUUAAAAUGAAGUUUGUUCCACUUUACCUAAGUUUUAUUAUGAGUUUGCUUUGGUUUGUGAAAUCUCUUUUCAUUGAUUUUGUCUCUCAUAUUUUGUUAUAAUUUUUUCUGUUUUUCACCUCCAUUUUGUUUUGUAUGUUGGAGAUUGAAGUUUAAGUGCAUUGAUUAUAUUGAUUUCCCAAUAUUAUAACAUGUUCUUUUUAUGACUAUUGAAUUAUGAGUACUUUGCUAAACUCAUUGAUUAUUAUUGUGAAUUUUGUUUGUUAACAUUUUUAAAUUUUUUGCAAGGAAAUUGAUUAUCAUUGCUAACAAUUGGCCACCAUUGAGGGAAGAAAAAUGCAAGGUGCUAAGAUAAGCACAAUGCAAGGUAUUAGUAUGUAAUGUAAAACUUUCAAAGAGCUAAAUUGAGAAAAUUCUUAGUUUGGUUAAUUUUGAUUGUCAGCUGCUUACUUCUUUCACUUUUUAUUUUCUUCUAACACCAUCUCCACUGUUUUGUCUCACAUCUUAUUUCCCUUUGACGUGAUCAACAUUUGUACUUUCUAUGGAACCCAAACUUGGCAAGAUACUUAUAUUAGGUUUUCACCUCAUUGUUGUAUUAGUUGUUCUCUGAUAUUUGCUUCAUUUUUUUCUGCUUUGUUAUUAGUUGUUCUAUGAUUUUUUUUUUCUGCUUCAAACUGAACUUUUUUAUAUCUAUUGGAAGUUUGAAAGAAACUGAACUUUUUGGUUAGAUACAUAACAAAUUAAGAACAUAUAAUGAACCCUUUUUUCAUGUUUACAUUUAUUUUCAAAUUAAAAGUUCACUUAUUGCAGCAUAGGAAAGUAAAAGUUCACUUUUUGUAGGUAUAUGAGCAUCUGUAUAUGCAAGUUUAACCCAACAACUAACCUUUUCAAGUAUAAAAGUUCACUUUUUGGAGAUAAGGCUGAUGUUUAGCAGAAUGAAAAGAAUGACAUUAAAGAACCAGUUAUUGCUAAAAAUACUGUGUUUUUAUCAAUAAAAACAACUUCACUUUCGUAUUUGUGUUUUAUUACAUUGUUUAAUGUUAGUGUCUUUUGUUAGUUCUCCAUAAUAUGUUGGAUGUGGUGUGCAGGUACACUAUAUUUGCCUUUCAAAUGGGAUUUUAAUGGGUUUAUAAAUGUAGGUUUAAGCACUUUAUUUUGUAGAAGGAGAAUUUGGAGAGCAAAUAUUACUGGUAGCCAUCUUUUUGUAGACUACUUUCUCUUCUCUCUUCUCUGCAUCAUUUGUACUUCUUUAGUUUUACAAACACAGUUCCAAAUAGCACUACUUCUAUGUCAACACAAUUCUACACCCAAAGUUCAGCUGGCUCUCAAUAUAAAGCCGAUGACAAUUUCAUGAAGCAAGCUCACGUUAUGAAUGUAAAAAGGGCAAUCAGACAAAUGAUCCUCUCAUUAAGUAAGCAUUUUCAAUAUCAAUGAAUUGUCUCAUGUUUGAACUGAUAAGCAUUUUCUAUACGACUAUACCUCAUGUUUAUCAUUAUGGAGAUUUCAAAAGUUCAGGCAUAACUGAUUUUCUAUACAUAUAGUUAAUUUCCAAUUGGUAAAUUUUUGAAAUAUAUAGGUUCACAUAACUGAUUUGUACUUUGAUUUUCUAUACAUUAUGUUUUCUCAGACAUGAUACACGUGAUAAACCAAUACCAUGUAAUGCUUGGAUAGUCCAUUUCACAAAUUACAUUGCAUAGACAAGUACCUCUACUAGAAUGCGAGGAAAAAACUAAAUCAGAUCAAUUUUACCUGCCAAGUACCAAGAGUGUAUUGCAAGGCUUCCAAAUGACGUGAUAUUGGUAAGGGAAGAUAAUCCAUGAAUCAUACCAAACUUCUUAUUCAUCGCUGCAAGCUUUGGGUUUUUCUUUGCCACUUCGACAUUUUUUGACCACCCAACUUCCUGUCCAAUGUUAUUCUCUCUCCACUAUAUUUCUUAUACCUUUAUGUUUAUGGAGAUUUGUUUUCAAGAGGUUGGUUAUUGAUUAUUUACCUAAUCUUUAUUUUGAACUUGAAGCUUGCUAGCUCUUCCAUGGAAGCAUAAUGCAAGGUGUUAAUAUGUAAUGUAAAUAGAGAAAAAUCUUAGUUUAGUUGAUUUUGAUUGUCAGCUACUUACUUCAUUCCAUUUUUUUUACUACAAUGAAUUUGUAUGAAAUUUGGAUUUAUCCCUCUUUUAUGUUUAUGUCUGUCUUAUGUUUGAUUAUAAUUCUCUUUUUAGCUCAUUACAUAUGCUUGAUUAAAGUACCAUGAUGUGAAUAGUUUAAUCCACUGGCUGCUUUACUGGCAGUGGAGACUUAUUUGAGAAACCUGCAAAACAUGGUAUAUGUUUGUACUAAUAUAGGUAGCAGUUUCACUCAUGAUUUUUUUUCUCUGAGCUCUUUCAUUCAUAUCAGGUAUCAUUGUGAGAAAUUUUCAUUUCUUCUUCCUUUUAAUCCUGUCUUUAACUCACCUUCCUUCCAUUUUUACUUAUCUUCAUUACAGAUUAAUGGGAAAAGGGAAAACGACUGACAUCACUCUCUCUGCUUCAUCAACACUAAAGAAAAAUGUUGAAACUUCAGUAUCACAACAUCAACUAAAGAGAGUUCAUGCAAAGACAUUGAAACCAUUGUUGAAGGAGAGGAACAAGUUCUUCCAAUUACUGUUUCACCUCAAAUUCAGGGUGGAUUUAACCCGUGUCAUUGGAUGGAAAAGAAUAGGGGAAGACAAUCAAUCAAGUCCACUUCCAAGCCAGUUGCCGAAGCAGGAAAGAUGAUGUAACUAAUUUGAUGAGAGACAUUCAAAAAUACUGUUUUCAGACUUUCACACAAGAUGAUCUUGACAAGUCUGCUUCCCUAGAUGAUUCAAUUCUCUCCACUCCAAUUUCUUCCGCUUCUGCCAAGAAUGACAUAUCUCCUGCUUCUCACAAAACACCAGCCAAAAGGAGUGUUGGAAAGCAUCAACCACUUGAGAAUACCCACCUUGAUUCGCAGUUCUCAAUGAGAACUUCUCAUCAACCAGAUCUGACAAGCUCAUUAAGAAGUAGAAGAUCUAAUGGCCUACGAUAUUUUUGUUUCAACAUAUUUGUGAAAAUAGGUUCAUAUAUUGAACAUGUUGAUGUUGUCCAAGCUUAUAAGCAUGAAUGGCCCUUACUAAAGCAUGAAUGGUCCUUACAAGGGAAAAAUAAAUAAUAAUAAUGGUGAAAAUAGGUUCACUUGCCGUAAAAGAAAAAGUAAUAAAACAAGUACUUUUAUUUUUUUUUUUUUUAUUUU